Molecule: ribosomal RNA, 1354 nt
Filed under: uncultured bacterium
Lineage: Bacteria
Description: bacterial SSU rRNA
Rfam family: Bacterial small subunit ribosomal RNA
Source: RNAcentral
CCGGCUCAGUACGAACGCUGGCGGCGCGCCUAACACAUGCAAGUCGAACGAGAGAUGAGGAGCUUGCUCUUCAAAUCGAGUGGCGAACGGGUGAGUAACGCGUGAGGAACCUGCCUCAAAGAGGGGGACAACAGUUGGAAACGACUGCUAAUACCGCAUAAGCCCACGGCUCGGCAUCGAGCAGAGGGAAAAGGAGCAAUCCGCUUUGAGAUGGCCUCGCGUCCGAUUAGCUAGUUGGUGAGGUAAUGGCCCACCAAGGCGACGAUCGGUAGCCGGACUGAGAGGUUGAACGGCCACAUUGGGACUGAGACACGGCCCAGACUCCUACGGGAGGCAGCAGUGGGGAAUAUUGCACAAUGGGGGAAACCCUGAUGCAGCGACGCCGCGUGGAGGAAGAAGGUCUUCGGAUUGUAAACUCCUGUUGUUGAGGAAGAUAAUGACGGUACUCAACAAGGAAGUGACGGCUAACUACGUGCCAGCAGCCGCGGUAAAACGUAGGUCACAAGCGUUGUCCGGAAUUACUGGGUGUAAAGGGAGCGCAGGCGGGAGAACAAGUUGGAAGUGAAAUCCAUGGGCUCAACCCAUGAACUGCUUUCAAAACUGUUUUUCUUGAGUAGUGCAGAGGUAGGCGGAAUUCCCGGUGUAGCGGUGGAAUGCGUAGAUAUCGGGAGGAACACCAGUGGCGAAGGCGGCCUACUGGGCACCAACUGACGCUGAGGCUCGAAAGUGUGGGUAGCAAACAGGAUUAGAUACCCUGGUAGUCCACACCGUAAACGAUGAUUACUAGGUGUUGGGGGAUUGACCCCUUCAGUGCCGCAGUUAACACAAUAAGUAAUCCACCUGGGGAGUACGACCGCAAGGUUGAAACUCAAAGGAAUUGACGGGGGCCCGCACAAGCAGUGGAGUAUGUGGUUUAAUUCGACGCAACGCGAAGAACCUUACCAAGUCUUGACAUCCCUUGACGAACAUAGAAAUAUGUUUUCUCUUCGGAGCAAGGAGACAGGUGGUGCAUGGUUGUCGUCAGCUCGUGUCGUGAGAUGUUGGGUUAAGUCCCGCAACGAGCGCAACCCUUAUGGUCAGUUACUACGCAAGAGGACUCUGGCCAGACUGCCGUUGACAAAACGGAGGAAGGUGGGGAUGACGUCAAAUCAUCAUGCCCUUUAUGACUUGGGCUACACACGUACUACAAUGGCGUUAAACAAAGAGAAGCAAGACCGCGAGGUGGAGCAAAACUCAGAAACAACGUCCCAGUUCGGACUGCAGGCUGCAACUCGCCUGCACGAAGUCGGAAUUGCUAGUAAUCGUGGAUCGGCAUGCCACGGUGAAUACGUUCCCGGGCCUUGUACACACCGCC